GAGGGCCCAGCCCCGCCGGGAGCGUCCGGGAGCCCCGAGCAGCAGCGGCCGCUUCGCCCUCGUCCGUGCAGGGAGCAGCGGGCACUGAGCGGCAGGAGGUGCAGGAGAAGAAAGUGGAGGCCUCCAUGGUGUGUGGAAAAAAGCAUAAACCAAGAGUGAGCAGAGGAAGCCUGGAUGAGUGAAGUGGAGCAGGAGGUGCUGGAGAAGAAAGAGGAAGCAUCCAUGGUGUGUUGAAGGAAGCAGGAAGCAAGAGCAAGCAGAGGAUGUGAGGAAGCCUGGAUGACUGAAGUGGAGGCCCGUUUGUUCGGAAUUCUGGAGCUGAAUCCCGAUACAGUGGGAGAGUGGCUGAGGCUCUUAAGCCAGGAGAAUGCAGGCAGCUUCGACAGAGCUGCCAGACCCCUCAGCGAGUUCUUCAUCGAACCUCCCUACAGCCACCUCUCCUCUCGGCCCUAUCUCUGACCUCCCCCUGCUCCCCAAAACAACUCCCAGAACGGCUUUUCUCACCCGCUCACUGCCUGCUGCUCCCUGCACAGACAAGGGCAAAGUGGUCGCUGCUGCUCCGGGCUCCCAGGGGGGCUGGACCCUCUGCUGCUCCCCCCAGCCAGAGGUGACAGAGUCAGAGCCUCAUUCCUAACCUCGGCAGGG
Long non-coding RNA from Calypte anna (Anna's hummingbird), 645 nucleotides. RefSeq lists it as uncharacterized. The transcript has 5 exons. NCBI's taxonomy places the organism in Eukaryota, Metazoa, Chordata, Aves, Apodiformes, Trochilidae. The record is from RefSeq and is a predicted model, not a curated record.